This 9625-nucleotide long non-coding RNA is filed under the name Sorghum bicolor (sorghum). Its description in RNAcentral is "long non-coding RNA (SBIC_LNC008877)". The record is from RNAcentral. Lineage: Eukaryota; Viridiplantae; Streptophyta; Magnoliopsida; Poales; Poaceae.
AUGCUACACUCAUGAUCCAUCAACUUUGUCUUGCUCACUAUGCUUAAGAAUUAGAGAAAAACAAAUACACUUUUGGUUCUGUUGGUGUUUUCCGCCAACAGAGCCCAUGCACUUGAUCCCUGCCUUGUUUCUAUGAGCAGGACACAUUUUGAGAAACGUGAAGGAAUUUUACAACUCCCAGACUCCACGAAGUGAAGGACCUGGAUCUACGAGCACAAACACACUGAGCAGGAUAUUGCCAACACCGCACUUUGAACUGCUGGGCAAUCAAAGAAUAUAGGUGACACCGUAUCAAGAAGUGCAGACGUCAAGGUCCACACCUAAUCAAAUGAUGCACAUAAAGGAUGAAGACAGUGAGAAGUCUUGUCCAAAAGAUUUAAAACUUUGGAUCCUUGUCGGAGGAGGUCUAGAUCGUCGACUCAAGUCACCUUUCUUGAUCAAGAAGGAUGACCCUGGUGUUCCAAGCAUUGAGUGCACAAUCAACAGAUACUCUUUUUAGAAGACACUCUACGACACCGGAUCUAAUGUCAAUAUAAUGGCCGCAGUCACUUAUCAGCUCCUGCAUGGAACCAUGCCCCUACAACCAAUAUAUAUUCAGCUCCAGAUGAUUUUCAGAUCAUUGACAUGGGAGAAGACGAGUACGAUCCACCCAUUAUCCUUGGAAGACCGUUUCUCAACACUAUCAAAGCCAUCAUCUAUAUUGGAAUCAGAGAAGUCCACAUACACUUCUCCUCUAAGAAGGUACACCACUAUUUUACUGACCCUAACUAUAUAGUUGAAGACUCUAAGCUAGUCAGGACAAGAAGAAGACAACGCAACCGCAACUAGAGAAGGCAAAUCAUCAAGGAUGGAUGGGUAGAUUACGAAGGAGAAGUGACAAGGUCUGAAGACAUAUAGCUUGAACAGAACUAUCCUGAGGAGACCGUAGCACCAAGUCAGGUGUGGAGAGAGAAGAUAGUUACACACGAAGAGGAGGCGCCGCCGGAACCACCAACUAUGCCAUCCAGUGAAUCCCAGGACGACUGAGAAAACAGAGAGUCACGUUCGGAGGACUUAAAAACAACGAACGCCUUGCCAAGAGGUAAACUUGGUAGUUAUCCUUUUCCAUUCAAUAGUUUGCUUAGUUAAUCAGGUUCAUGCUAUCUUGAAAAGAAAAUAAAAAUGUUAAAAAAAUAGUAAGCCCCAUGUGAGUAUGCUCAUGGCAUAAAACCCAUUGGUACAUUCACUGUGGUGAAAUAUGUUUUCAUCUUACAAUAAAAAUAUAAAAAUAAUAAGUGCAUGAUCCAGCUAAAUAAAUAACAUUUAUUGAGGAGGCUCAACAUGAUAAAGGCUAGAUAUUUAUGCUAACACUUAACUAGUUCCACGAAGCUUUGUUGUCUAUUUGAGCUCCAUAGAAUUCAAGGAUAAAAGAAGACUAAGAGACGGAGGACAUCCUAAUCGUUGUCAGGGUGCUGCCGACUUUCAAAUACACCUCCAUCACCUGCUAGCUACAUCAGAAGAAAUUACGUCAAAAUCCAGCUUGGGGGAGAGCACCCGCAUUUAUCCAGCUAAGUGUUUCUACUCGCGUUUAUACUUUACUCAAAUAAUAAAAGAUGCAUAAUCAUGAAAACCCAAAUAAAGAUUUUGUGCUUUUAUAUAUAUAUCUUUGCUUAGUUUGCUAAAUAAAUAAAUAAAGUUUGCUAUGAACCCUCAUGAUAAACUCUCACAUGGAAAUGAUGAAUAGUUGCUCUGCCAUGACUAGUUCUUAAAAUUGAAAUCUCUCUCAAGUUUAGGCAUAACAGUUAUAAUUUAAAGCUUGCUCUAAACCUGAACUUGUGGUAAAAGUACUUGAUCUAAAGUCUAAGUUGUUAACGGAUAUGAUAUGGGAAGGUUGAGCUACUGUUUAUCUGUUCCUAGAGAUGCUAGAAUUCUGGAGAAUUUUAUCUUUGAAAAAUCUUUAAAAUAUCACAUGAUGAGUUCCUGUAUGAUGAGAGUUUAAAAUCCUACCACAGCCCUAUAUACAUGCUUAUUAGACUUUGAGCCAAACAUUUACUUUUUACUGCUUAUGAGCAUUGAGUGUGGUCAAGCUGUGUAGACCCUUAGGAGCUUGUCAUGUGGUUAAAAUCAAGAUUCACUUACACGCUCACUCACACAUGCUGCUUCUACUCUGGAAGUACGCAUCCACAUAUAUCCACUCAUUUCCAUCUCCAGAUUCACCCAAAAUUAUUCUACUCCUAAUCCGGGAGAGAAUAGCCAAAAACAUUUUCCUAUCCCUGUUAUUCCCUGUGAAAUAAUUGCUCCAGUUAUUUUGGUUACUACCACUUGCUACAUUCUUUGAGGAGAUGAGUGCUCUAAAAAAAGAGAAGAAGCAAAAAAAAAUAAUACGAGGAAAUAAAAAGGGGCAAGUACCCGGAACCUCGAAUAAAAGAAAAAGUGAGACGAGAGGUAAAAAUGGACAAGUGUCCGACAGCAGAAUUAGGGGUACAAGAUACCCACCUGAGAGAAAAGAAAAAGAAAAUAUAGAGCAUCUCAUUCUCCUCAAAAAGCUUCAAAGUGCAAGAAAGGUUGUAUCCCCUUAAAAGAGCAAAAGUAGAAUUAGAUUUUCACCAUUGUUAUCACCAUCAUCAAAAUACACCAUUCACUCGCCACACAUGCACAUCUUGAUUUGACUUAUUGACUUGUUUCUCUGGAUACAUCGUUUGACUAUGCAAUAAAUGUCUUGUAAGUAUGUAUUAUCUGUCUCCCACCUAUGAGCUCCAGAUAUCAAAACCUUAUUAGAGUAGGGUGAGAGAGAAGGCAAUAUCACUAUGCCUCAUACCAAAAAUACCACAUACUUUGAGAGAAGGCAUAUACCAUUACUGCCUUGGAAAGGAUCCAGAAAAUACCACAAAAGAGAGAUUUGAGAGAGUCAUACAAGGAAUCUCUGAGUUUUAUUUGAAAAUCUGCAAAAACUCCAGAGUUAUGGUUAAUCAAAGAACAAGAGACAUGGCGCUUGACUUGACCGUUCUAUCUUCUAACUGCUCAAGACACAAGUGACGGUUGCAAGCCCCAUGGUGAAAGGUAAAAUCAGUAAGUUUUAAGUAUUAACAGUUUACUCUAACUCAGAGAUGAGAUCUUGCUUGAACGCAUGUGUACUUUUAAGACAUGAAACCACUGCAGAAACUCUUGAGUCCAUCCUUGCUCAGGGACGAGCAAGAGGUAAGCUUGGGGGAGUUGUUGACGGUCCUCAAGUACCAAAUAUAAUCAUCAAAUAAAUAAAGAAAAGGAUCCAAAUACAACCAACACCCAGACUUAGGUUUUUAUCUGACAGAAUUCCAUGAGUUUUGGUGUUUGUCUAUUUCUGCAGGGGGUUAUCGGGAAAUAAGGAAGAAAGGCCCACAUGUCGGGAUUACAUAGAGAUAUCAACGCACCGCGCAAUUUUCUACCAUCUAGAAGACUCCAGAAGCCACGGGAAGAAAGCAGAGGCCGAAAGGGGCCAGGCCCAGGGCGCCCGCCCUCUUUCCCUGGGCGCCCGCCCUGUCCUGGACUCCGUUCCGGACUCUCUUCGCACACAAUGUUCCACCGACCUAAAGGAUCAAGGAUAACGUAGUACCACAUCGCCUACCGACCCAAAAACGCAUAGAGGAGGACUAUAUAAGGAGACCCCCCUGGCCCCUGGAGAAGACAAGAAGUUAUCAUAGAGUUGAGGGGUGCCCUCGAAGGAAAACCUCUUCUCUAAAUAAUAUUUAUUUUUAGGCUUAGCAUCCAAUGCAAAGUAGAAAUAGAUCUUCUAGUUUCUACUAGAUUGAGAGAGAUAGAGUGGAGGUGUAGAUUGGAGGAAGGCCAGCCUGUCAGUGUCUACUCCGAGUUGUACCUGCGGGAUCAAGUCUCCUAACCCGAGGCUUGCUUCUAAGAUUCUUCACUAAUUCGACUUCUAAUUCUAGUAAGUUCUUGUUUUAUUAUUCUUUGGUUUAUGUGUUUACUUUAAUCCUCUUCCGGUUGAGUAUUAGAGUAAUCAUUGCUAGCGUAAACGUGGUGUUUAGGCUAGGGUACUCAUAGAUAUCCCCUGACUAGCUGGACCGUGGUAGUAGCAAGGAACGUGACAUUUCCGAGUUACCUUUGUAUCCCAUAUCUUGUUAGCAGGACGGGUAGGUUUAUAGGUGCGGGUCGAACAUCCUUUGUGGUGUCUAGAUUCCGUAAGCUUCCCCAAUAGAACAGUAGAUCAUCCUUACCAAGGUUAGAACGAGACUACGGUUGCAGUCUUCUCUAUACAUCACUCACAUCGAGAAACAUUCUUUGUAGCCUAAAGGGGUAGUAGCAAUAGAUUUGGUUAGUCAGAUGCACCCUUUCUCCCAGUGGUAAAAAUAUAAAUACGAUAACUCUAGAUAACCUCCUGGGUGAAAUGCUCACCGAUAUCCGUGCGCUUGCGGAUCAUUUCCUGAUUGCGUUACCAAAUAUCAACAAAGAGAUAGACAUGAUCCAUUUUUACCUUCCCAUAGAGAUUUAGAGCCCGACCUUUUCAAUCUGAUGUUUUUGGGCCACGUAUAUAUUUUCUAAUAAAGUUUGCAUCAAGAAGGACGCUCGAGGAAGCGGGCCCACAGAGGGGCCAGGCACAGGGCGGGCGCCGUGAUGAAGAGGGCGGGCGCCCAGCUCCUGCCCCGUCUCAGUCCUGAUUUCCUCCGUCGCAGUAAACACAUUUAUGGUAAACCAAAUAAUCAUACAGAUGGAAAGUUUCGCAUGCACGGCGGCAGGAGUAGCCCGAGCAAACCCUAGCGGCACUUUUUGACCCCUAUAUAAACAGACCCCUGAUGUCAGUUUUCAAACACCAAUUCAUACAAGCCUUCUCUCCUUCUUCAAUUAGAGCUUGCUUAGUCCCUUGCUGCUCCAAUGGCCGAAGAGUUCCACGAUGAUUGGUAAGUCGUCCCCUUCAACCUCAACAUGAAGCCCAAGGAAGAUCCCGAUGCCUACGCUCUUGUCCCGGCCAACACAGAGCGACGGCUAGCAGCCUUGCCACCACGCCAACGCAGCUCCGCCCAAUCCUACCAUGCUCAACCAGUUCUCACCGCACCACCGCAGCCCCUACUUCUCAAAGGAGCAUCAGCCAAGAAGGAGGCCACCGUCAAGGUGCCAGCCGGCACGAGGAUUCUGCCACCCAGACCCAAUGAGAGGGUCGUUGGAGUCAAGACCAACCGGAGCGGCGAGAUCAGCAGCAUCCGCUACACUCCGGACGAGGAGAGGCCUUACUUUGAGGGGAUUAGAGCAGCCAAAGUCCAUUUCAUCCCUCCAAAGGCAGCCCCGAAGCACACUCUCAAUGCUUUUGAGACACCUCCUAAGCGUCGCAAGACUAUAGUAGAUAUUGAUGAGGACGUUCGCAGGCUAGACAGGGUCAUCAUAGACCUCCAGUCCCCAGUUAACUCCAUCACUAGGCAGCUCUCUAACCACAACACCGUUAUACUAGGUCUUAUGCAUGAUAUGGAUAAGCAUCAUUUCUUGUGUAUUCUUAUCAUGUGGUUCGUCCCAGACAUAGACUUACCCCUUUGAAGUAGAGAAACCAUAGUUAUCCUCUCUAUUCUCCUACCAUCGCCCAUAUACUAGAUUGCUCUACUCUCUAUUCCUAUAUUAUCACCCAUUGUUAUCUUACCUUUAAUAUUGUUCUUAUUCAAUUUUGCCAUCUUUCCUAUUUACACCUACCUAUCUAUCUAGGUUAAGUUAGAGCGUAGAUCAGUUCUCCCGUUUCCCUGUGGAUACGAUAAAACCUUUAAUCGGGUAAAAGCUACAACGGUAUCCGUGCGCUUGCAGAUUUAUUUGUGUGCGUAUAAAUACCAUAGUACACUCUAGUGUUAUGUUGGGGAUGACAACCUAGUAUUCAAGUGGUGUUAGCAAGUGUCAACAAGCAUUUUUGGCGCCAUUGCCAGGGAAACGGUUGCUGAGUUGACUACGAACUAGCUUAAUCAUUUUCUAAAAAAAUAAAAAAAUAUACUUUUACUUUUAUCUUUUGCCUUAUCUCUGCUAUUCUUUCUUCUUAUCUAAUCCUUGAUAUCUGGUCUAUCAUGAAUUCAAACAUGUCUAUCUAUGAAUUUCAUAGACCUACGGGCACACAUCUCGAACCACCAAAAUGUUCAAAGCCUAUCAUAGCAUCUAUUUUGAGAUAGACCCCGAAUACAUAGAAUUUGUUAAAAAACAACCUUUCUCAGGAGAAGGUGAGGAAAACCCAUACACACACCUAAGAGAGUUUUAUCGAGUAUGUGACCUCCUUCGCAUAGAAGGCAUGUCCGAUGAGACCCUUAAAUGGAAGCUCUUUUCGUUCUCUUUAACAAGAAAAGCUAGACAUUGGUACAAACUCAAAGUAGGGAGUGUUCAUGGAGAUUGGAAGGAGUUAUAUAAUAGUUUUCUUUUUAAAUAUUUUCCAAUCUCCAAAGUGGCAGAACUUUGGCAUGAGAUUAUUUCUUUUAGACAACUGGAAGAAGAAUCUCUUGGCAAAUCAUGGGACCGCUUUAUUAACCUUACUCUCACUGGCCCAAAGCUUUCUAUUCCAGAAAGUUCUUCUAAUUCACUUUUUUGAGGGCCUUAGUAGGGAAAAUAAGCAAACCUUGAAUACAGUCUCUAGAGGAUCCUUCUAUCACCUACCUGCUAGUGAAGUUAGGGAUUUAGUUGAUUCAUUGAGUGGAAAGUUUCCUAGCAUUUAUAUCCCUGAGAAAGAGAAAGAACCAGUUCCUAGACAAUAAGAAGAAGUUUCGAUAGCCAGAUCACAACCACUUCAAUCCCAAACUUUAGCUAUCAAUCCUAAACCAUCAAUACCCCAAAAUUCUUCAAGGGAGGAAGGAAUUCCGACCUUAAAUCUUUCAGAUACUGAUGGUUUAGACUUCUGGUUCCAUAAUAGACCUUCAAGCAGGGAUAAAUCCUUGCAAUAAUGGUUCUCUUAGAGAAUGUCCUGGUUCCUAUUAUGAAGAAGUCGAGGAUGACAUAUCAAGUGAAGGAGAGCUAAACCGUAUAGAAGAUUCUAUCGGCUCCCCUUCCAUGUUCACAAAUUCUAAAUCCAUCGUUGACCUUAGAGACCCCUCUUAUCCCUCUCCUUUUCAGUCUCAUGAUGAUCCUAGCAAUCCAUCAAGAUGACCAAACCAUAGGAGUCAUGAAGACCAUAAGGAUGGCAUUAAGAGCUAAGCCAUAUAGAAGAUUCUAUCAGCUCCCUUCUCUUGAUCACAAAUUCUAAAUGGCUGGAAUGUAUAGAAUGGAAGGACAAGGAAGAAGCCUUAAUGGAUUCUAACCUUGACUCAAUUUCAGAUGUUGAGUCUUUAACUCCCCUUGAAUAUGAGAUUCACCCUUCUAUAGAAGAGGACAUAAACGGGACCAAUCCAAGAGAAACUUUGAACAUUCAGAUUAGAGACGAAGAUAACAUUAAUGAGCAUGGAAUUUAUUUGAUAGCCACUUCGUUUACUCCAUGCUCAUAUGAAACAUCUUCCCAAUCUAUUGGUCUCUCCAACAUCACCACAUUUGAGAUCUCCAACCCCCUCUUCCUUUCUAUUUACAAAAACUUUAAAAGGGCGGUUGUCGAUGCAUAUGUCUAUAACAAAAUAUUGUAGAUCUCGUUGAGUUGAUCUUGAUAUAGGUCAGCAUUGGAAGGGAAACCACUUCGCCGACAUAAAUUGAUGGUUUCCCAAGGACAAGCUUAGUGUCCUAAAAUAAGCACUGAUCAGAUCGUAACAUGAGCUUUUAAUCAUUUACAACAUUACCUUGUGUAUUGAGCAUAUAAGGAUAAUUGUAAAAAUAUUCCUUCGGGUAUUCUUGUCACUAACCUUUCCAGGAUUGGAGCAAGAAGAUUGGAUGAAUGAAAAGCACAAGGUAUGUCCAACCAAUCAUCAUUCAACAUUAAUUAAAUCCAAACUUGAAUUUUGCAAAAUUCAAGCUUGGGGGGAGUAGUUUACAUAAAAGCAUCCUUUGCCAUGUUGCUAUGUUGGUUAUCCCUACCUUUGAGACAUGCUCAAUUUGUUAAGUACUAAUCACACUACUUCAUCUCCACUUGAGUAGAUCUCUAUAAAUGCUCUGAUGCUACCUUUAUUUGCUUUAGUAUAUGUCUAGGUUUGGAGUAGUUUCAUUUAUCUCUUAAAUAAAGCAUGGUUCUUAGUUUAGGAAUGAUGUUCUUACUUCCAAGGGAUUUUAAAUUAAGCAUGGUGCUUAGGUUAAAAUGCCCUCCUAAAUCAAAUUAGACAUGGUGUCUAGGUUGAUUUUUGAGCCGAUAGUAUGCUAUAGUAGAUAUUAGAUAUUUUGUUAUACUAACCCCUGCAGGAAAACUUUCAAUAUUGACCUAGAAAGUCCUGAGACAAACUCACAUUGGAGACAAAGAGUGAGACACAUCAAGUUUAACAAUUUACACAAGGAAGACGUAGCUGAUAAGAGAUGAUCCAUGGAGGGUGCCACAAACACGAUGCACAACCGCUAAGAAAGGAAAGCUUCCACAAAGUGAUACUGUACCAUCACUCUUCAAGUAAGGUAACAUCUUAAGGUACUUGACUAUCACUUUUAUAAGCUUGUCCUUAGUUCUGACGUUCAUAUGAAUAAAAGAGACAAACAUGUAUGAUUUACAACUCUAGGUUAACCAACCCAAUCGAUUCAACAUGUUUAGUCCUUCCACCUUUGUGAUCCCACACUCCUAAUCAUAUGAGCUAAAAUGUUGCACACUCAAUCUUUGGAAGGUAUAUAAAAAAACAUAAAUAUAGAUAGAUUAUCUUUCCAUUAGGUUGAGCGAUCUGAUCUGACAAAUGUUUUAAAAGCUACAUUCAUGAACUUAUCACCCAUCAACUUUGACUUGCUCCCUUUGCUCAAGGAUAGAGAAGAAUAAAUAUACUUUUGGUUCUGUUGGUGUUUUCCACCAACAGUACCCAUGCACUUGAUCUCUGCCUAGUCUCUAUGAGCAGGUACACUUGGAGCAAAACAUAGUGGAGUUUUACAACUCCUAGAUUCAUCAAGUGAAGGACCUAGAUCUACGAGCACAAACACACUAAGCAGGAUGCUGCCAACGCUGCACUUCGAACUGCUGGGCAAACGAAGAACAUGGGUGACAACGUAUCAAGAGGUGCAGACGUCAAGGUCCACACCUGAAUCAAAUGACGCACCUAAAGAAUGAACACGGUGAGAAGUCUUGUUCAGAAGACUUAAAACAUUGAACCGUCACCGAAAGGUAAAAUCGGUAGUUAUCCAUAUUUAUCCUUUCUGCAUUCCCUUUUCCCUCAAAUUAUUUACUUUCCUUAAAUAGCUUGUUAGUUAAUUAUGCUAUCUUGAAAAGAAAAUAAAAAAAUGUUAAAAAUAGUAAGCCCCAUGUGAGUAUGCUCGUGGCAUAAAACCCAUAAGUACAUUCACUGUGGUGCCGUAAAAAUAAAAUAAAUAUAUUCCUGUCCAAUAGAAAUGAAAAUAUAAAAAUAAAUUUAUGAUCCUACCAAAGAGAGUAAUAUCUAUUAGAGAAAGCUCAACAUGAUAACGGCUAAGAGAUUUUAUGCUAACACUUAACCAGAUUCACAAAGCUUUGUUGUCUAUUUGAGCUCCGCAAAAUCCAAGGAUCAAAGAAGACUAGCAGACAGAGGAUAUCCUAAUCACUGUCUAGGUGCUGCCAACAUUCAAAUACACCUCCACCACCUGCUGGCUACAUCAGAAGAAUUUACAUCAAAAUCCAGCU